AGGAUGAACGCUGGCGGCGUGCCUAAUACAUGCAAGUCGAGCGGUAAGGCUACUUCGGUAGUACACGAGCGGCGGACGGCUGAGUAACACGUAGGAACGUACCCCAAAGUGAGGCAUAAGCACCAGAAAUGGUGUCUAAUACCGCAUGUGAUCUUCGGAUUAAAGCUUCGGCGCUUUGGGAACGGCCUGCGCAUGAUUAGCUUGUUGGUGAGGUAAUAGCUCACCAAGGCGACGAUCAUUAGCUGGUCUGAGAGGAUGACCAGCCAGACUGGGACUGAGAACGGCCCAGACUCCUACGGGAGGCAGCAGUAGGGAAUUUUCCACAAUGGGCGAAAGCCUGAUGGAGCAACGCCGCGUGCAGGAUGAAGGCUCUCGGGUCGUAAACUGCUUUUAUAUGUGAAGAUUAUGACGGUAGCAUAUGAAUAAGGAUCGGCUAACUCCGUGCCAGCAGCCGC
This 455-nucleotide ribosomal RNA is filed under the name uncultured bacterium. RNAcentral's name for it is "SSU rRNA". It matches the Rfam family "Bacterial small subunit ribosomal RNA", at positions 26 to 518 of the family's 1533-position model. The record is from RNAcentral.